GUUUUCAAAGAAAUACAGGCAUCCAACUUUGGACUCAAAACUUGUUCUUAAAGGGUUGAAUGCGGAGGCAAGGUGUGUGGCAAAAGCCAGACGGCUUGGUGUUGCUACUCCAGUGCUUUAUGCUGUUGACCAUGUUAUGCAUACUCUCACCUAUGAAUAUAUUGAAGGUCCUUCUGUGAAAGAUAUAUUUCUUGUCUUUGGACUAGUAGGUGUUGAUGAAGAACAGAUGGUUGAUAUUGCAACGCAAAUUGG
RNAcentral lists this unclassified non-coding RNA (252 nucleotides) under Hevea brasiliensis (rubber tree). The record is from RNAcentral. Lineage: Eukaryota; Viridiplantae; Streptophyta; Magnoliopsida; Malpighiales; Euphorbiaceae.